RNAcentral lists this transfer RNA (94 nucleotides) under Actinomadura nitritigenes. RNAcentral's name for it is "tRNA-OTHER". It matches the Rfam family "tRNA". From Rfam's summary of the family: Transfer RNA (tRNA) molecules are approximately 80 nucleotides in length. Their secondary structure includes four short double-helical elements and three loops (D, anti-codon, and T loops). Further hydrogen bonds mediate the characteristic L-shaped molecular structure. tRNAs have two regions of fundamental functional importance: the anti-codon, which is responsible for specific mRNA codon recognition, and the 3' end, to which the tRNAs corresponding amino acid is attached (by aminoacyl-tRNA synthetases). tRNAs cope with the degeneracy of the genetic code in two manners: having more than one tRNA (with a specific anti-codon) for a particular amino acid; and 'wobble' base-pairing, i.e. permitting non-standard base-pairing at the 3rd anti-codon position. The record is from RNAcentral. Lineage: Bacteria; Bacillati; Actinomycetota; Actinomycetes; Streptosporangiales; Thermomonosporaceae.
GCCUGCGUAGCUCAACGGACAGAGCACCGCCCCACUGGGCCCACGAGGGCCUACGGCCUGCGGAGGCUCCCGGGUUCGAGUCCCGGGCCAGGCA